RNAcentral lists this transfer RNA (193 nucleotides) under Pneumocystis jirovecii. RNAcentral describes it as "tRNA-Pseudo(ATA)". The record is from RNAcentral. Lineage: Eukaryota; Fungi; Ascomycota; Pneumocystomycetes; Pneumocystales; Pneumocystaceae.
UGAUAAAUAUUAUAAAAAAAGUUUAAAUUAUAAUGAUUUUGAUGAAUAACAUUUUAUAAUUUUUAUAAUAAAUUAAACCUAUAAAAACAUAAAGAUCUUUUUGAUAAAUAAUAGAAUUUAUUUUUAACGAUUUUUUUAAUAUUAAUAAAUAAAUAAGUGAAUAUUUAAAUGUAUAUUCUAUUUAUUUUGUCUU